RNAcentral lists this ribosomal RNA (253 nucleotides) under uncultured bacterium. Its description in RNAcentral is "partial 16S ribosomal RNA". It matches the Rfam family "Bacterial small subunit ribosomal RNA", at positions 524 to 776 of the family's 1533-position model. The record is from RNAcentral.
UACAGAGGGUGCGAGCGUUGUCCGGAAUCACUGGGCGUAAAGGGCGCGUAGGUGGCGGCCCAAGUCCAUGGUGAAAGCUCGAUGCUCAACAUCGAGUCGGCCACGGAUACUGGGUUGCUGGAGCACUGUAGGGGCAGAUGGAAUUCCGGGUGUAGCGGUGGAAUGCGUAGAGAUCCGGAAGAACACCGGUGGCGAAGGCAGCUCGCUGGGACGGUACUGACGCUGAGACGCGAAAGCGUGGGGAGCAAACAGG